ACAACGGGUGGAGCUUGCGGUUUAAUUGGAUUCAACGCCGGAAAUCUUACCGGGACCGACAGCAAUAUGAAGGCCAGGCUGAAGACUUUGCCGGAUUAGCUGAGAGGUGGUGCAUGGCCGUCGUCAGUUCGUACUGUGAAGCAUCCUGUUAAGUCAGGCAACGAGCGAGACCCACGCCCACAGUUGCCAGCGUACUCUCUGGAGUGACGGGUACGCUGUGGGGACCGCCGCUGCUAAAGCGGAGGAAGGAAUGGGCAACGGUAGGUCAGUAUGCCCCGAAUAUCCCGGGCUACACGCGAGCUACAAUGGUUGGUACAAUGGGUAUCUACCCCGAAAGGGGACGGGAAUCUCCUAAAACCAAUCUUAGUUCGGAUUGAGGGCUGCAACUCGCCCUCAUGAAGCUGGAAUCCGUAGUAAUCGCGUUUCAACAGAACGCGGUGAAUACGUCCCUGCCCCUU
This 458-nucleotide ribosomal RNA is filed under the name uncultured Methanosaeta sp. RNAcentral describes it as "bacterial SSU rRNA". It matches the Rfam family "Archaeal small subunit ribosomal RNA", at positions 881 to 1338 of the family's 1478-position model. The record is from RNAcentral. Lineage: Archaea; Methanobacteriati; Methanobacteriota; Methanomicrobia; Methanotrichales; Methanotrichaceae.